This is a long non-coding RNA of Mauremys reevesii (Reeves's turtle), 952 nucleotides long. RefSeq lists it as uncharacterized. NCBI's taxonomy places the organism in Eukaryota, Metazoa, Chordata, Testudines, Geoemydidae. The transcript has 4 exons. The record is from RefSeq and is a predicted model, not a curated record.
GGACGCAGACUGUCAGCUCCUGCAGAAGGAGAGCCCAUGAGCCUGGACCGGGGUGUCAGCCGAGCAGAGGCCGCCCCGGAGACCCCGGGGAGGGACGCCGGCCGUGAGGGACCUACGGGGGAACCGCUCCCACAAUGCAGACAUCCGGCUAGACAGGAAAAUGCACGUCACCUCUGGAACCAGUGGGAUAGAAGAGAUUUUUCAAGUUGUAAACUGGAAGCCCAGCCAGGUGAAGAAUCAACAGAGUAGCAGUCUAGCUGGAGAGAAACCUGCAUCAUUUCCACAAGCAUUAGCAAAAACAUCUGAUACAUGUAAUGACCUCUCAGCGGCUGUUGGAAAGGACUGAACUUGGGGCCACUUGAGAUGAAGGAAUAAUUCCUAUCGAAGGAAACAGUAACUGGCUCCAGUUCUCCCUGUGGACUAUCCACUGAGGAGGAUGCUACGCACUUGGCCAGUUAUUGCCAGCGAAGCUUCCCCAUCCAUCUGAGAUUCACAGCUGUUCAAAUGCCCAAACAGAACCCCACUUUGUAAUGACUUCAUACCAUAAAUCAAACUCUAGGAUAAAGAACAGCCAUUUGUAACCUAGAAUAAAUGUAUGAGUGUCCAUGCUAACCUUUACAAAUAUGUUAAAUAUUUUAAGGUAACUGGCCAUCAAUUAACUGGAGGUAAAAAAAAGUCUAAUAAAGAUAAACCCUAAAAGUCUCCACUACCCUAAUGAGAUAGCUGCCAUCCAGAGGCUGAGAUGAGAUGAGAUCAGAGGAAAUCGGGAUUAUAUAAACAAGGACCCUCAAAAGGGACUUGGCACAAUGAGUCAUAGCAUGGGCUGAUUUAUAUAUAUUUUUGGCACAUCAAAUCUCAAGAUCUCAGGAAGUGAAGAAGAAAACAUCUGUGCUUCUAAAAUAAAACCUGUUUUCCGGCAAUAUAAUCCAACUCCCUUUCCCCCAGCUGUGGU